This 337-nucleotide unclassified non-coding RNA is filed under the name soil metagenome. RNAcentral's name for it is "partial contains 5.8S ribosomal RNA, internal transcribed spacer 2, and large subunit ribosomal RNA". The stretch from base 1 to 120 matches the Rfam family "5.8S ribosomal RNA", at positions 35 to 154 of the family's 154-position model. The record is from RNAcentral.
GAUGAAGAACGCAGCGAAAUGCGAUAAGUAAUGCGAAUUGCAGAUUUCAGUGAGUCAUCGAAUCUUUGAACGCACAUUGCGCCCGCCAGUAUUCUGGCGGGCAUGCCUGUUCGAGCGUCAUUUCAACCAUCAAGCCCCCGGGCUUGCGUUGGGGCCCUGCGGCUGCCGCAGGCCCCGAAAAGCAGUGGCGGGCUCGCUGUCACACCGAGCGCAGUAGCGAUUCUCGCUCCGGGCGUCGGCGGCGGGCACCGGCCGUGAAACCCCCCCUCAUCCACAAGGUUGACCUCGGAUCAGGUAGGAAUACCCGCUGAACUUAAGCAUAUCAAUAAGCGGAGGA